Molecule: long non-coding RNA, 4124 nt
Filed under: Homo sapiens (human)
Lineage: Eukaryota; Metazoa; Chordata; Mammalia; Primates; Hominidae
Description: HSALNT0213282
Source: RNAcentral
CGCCGAGCGUCCCUCCCGCAGGCUGUGGCGGGCGGCGGGACGGGUUGCAUCAGCCCCGGCUAUAUAGCGGCCCCUGGGCGGCGGGGAGGGGUCGGGAAUGCGGAACCGGCCGAGCUGCCAGCUCCAGACGUCAGAGGGGGACGGAGAGGAAGGGAAGGAGGGGACCGGGGAGGAGGGGGUGUGGAGCCGGCGCUUCACACCCACUGACCUUAACCUCCCCCGCCGCCUUGGGCGCCCUCCUCCCGCGGCCGCUCGCGCUCCUCUCCCCGCGGGGGCGUCCCGGGUUCCAUGCAGUCCCCCGGCUCCGCCACCCCACGGUGCAGGAGCGCUCGAGAAAGCAGGACGCGGCGAGCGGUUAUGUAAGCGCACCCCCCGCGCACCGCCGCCCGGCUUGUGCCCGCCAGGCAGCAGCAGCCGCAGCCCUAGGAGAGAGACGCGAGAGGCCGGAGCCGGGGGAAAAGUCAAAAGCCCCUUCACGCACAGCCUGUGUUAACCAUGUACCUCAGUCCCGGCGCUUCCCCCACAAACUGAGAGCGACAGGGAGAAUUUCCGCACAGUUUCAUCCUUGGACACUUCAGGACUGAGCGGAGCCAACCCCACUCCCACCUUCCAUCCUUCUAGAGAGGAAAUGGUGAAGGGGACUCCAGAGGGAAGGCGACAUCCAUGGUGCCCUCCAGUAUACAAAGGCAGAGACACAGAGCCCUCAGGUAGAACGGGGUUCCCUAGAUGGCAUCUCCUACCUCCAGAGCUCCUGGGUACCCAUCGAGCCCCCUACCUUCUGCCUAAGCCAGAUAGGAGUGACGAUUUUUAUACUCAGCGACUUUCGGCCUCCUUCUGAGAGUGAUGUCAGGUCAUCACCCAUAGAAGAAAGGAAGUGAAAGAAAAAGUUCAUGCCUUCUUGGAGUGCAGAUGCUCAGAGUGAAAGAAACAACAAGACUUGAGACAGAUGGGUGCCAUUGAGCAAACCCGAACAUGCAUGUCUCUCUCAUGUGAGUGAGUGCAUGAGACUUUAUUCUCCUUAUUUCCCCAGUGCAGUGAAAUCUUUCUGGAUAAAAGAAGUGGGCUAAUGGAAGGAGAGACAGACCAAGUCCCAAUGACAUUGCCUGACCAUUUUCACCUUCGCCAUCAGCAGUCUCCCUCACAGCAUUGGUGUGGGCAGGUAAGAAGAAAGCAAGGCCCUGAAAGAAUAUACAUUGGAAAAUGAGCAGUAAUUUGAUACUCUUGUGGAAGAGCAUGACUCUUCGCCCCAGAAAGGCCAAUGACACCUUUACUACAGCGUAAAGAUCAAAGCCAGGGACUGUGAAACUGCCUCAUGAUGUUUCUCCCAUGAGACCUGUGUCUGGAUGUUUAUAUGGAACAAAACAUGGAACAGAGGCAAUAGUACUUGAUGUGUCUUCAGCUGGGGCUUUGGAUAAACUAAACUGAUCUAUAUUCAGGGACUAAUAAUUAGGGUGUGUGGUUAGAGCGCGUCCUCUCUAGGGCCUGUUUUGGACUGUGGCUGGGCCACCAGCAGUCCUACUGGGCCUUUGCUUCCCCCACAAAUUAAAUAUGUUACAGGGGUGGCACCAAGGGGUGACUUGGGAGGCCUUUAGUCCCCUCUACCUCUCUAUAAUCUCCAUUAGAUCUUCUCUGUUAUUUGCUAUUGAUGCUUUUCAGUUUCAUAUAGGACGCUAUAAGAACACAGCUUCAAGGCCUCCCUUCCGCCACAUACUCCCUACUAGGCCCCUCUACGUAGUCACUGCCUCUGGGAGUGGCUAGAGGGAGAAGCCAUAAACUGGGUCCUUUAUGCAGACAUUGGAUGCUGGAUGGAGCUGAUUUACCACUGGCUCUUAGGGACAGACAAGUGACUCAGCCUAAGGCAGUUUGAAUUUAAGUUUCCUAUCACAACUAGAAAAGUCCUGAUUAACACGCCCAGCCCUAGUCAAUGGGCUGAUUGAGAGAUCGUCACAUAUCCCAAGAAAAUCUCACAAGACUGGGAAUUUUGUGGAUCUGCUGGAAAGAGAAGCUGCCAGAAGCCCCACGUGAAAGGGAACUACUGAGAGUGAAGCUAAUGGGAGGAAAAGUAGAGCCAAGCCACGGAGGGAAAGACAGAUCAAGUUCCAAUGACAUUGCCUGAGUUCCUGAAUUCAGUCAUGCCUGACAUCAUCCUGACCUCUGCAGGUUUUAGCUAUAGGAAUCAGUAAAUUAUGUCUUACCCAAGGCAGUUUGAAUUUGGGUUUCCUAUUACUUGCAAUUAGAAAAGUCCUAAUUAAUACAGUGGGUUUUGCAUCUCUGACUUAUGUGGACUAUUUCAUUUUGAAGUUUAAUGGAGAUUGAUGAAUCCCGAGCUCUUUGUAAAGAGGGGAAAACUGAAAUGGUGAGGUAAAAUAAUGAAUUCCCCAGACCUGCUCCUCCAAAAUCAAAGGAGAAAGUGAUAGUUCUGAGUAAUCAGCCAAUCAAUUAGUCUUUAUCCUAGUAUAUACUGAAAACCUAUUGUGCACCUUUAAGGUACACAAAGUUUAAGACAUGAUUUCUCACCUGUUCUAUGUCCCAUCUAAUUAGGAAAAAUGAUUUACAAACUAAUGAAUAGCAAGACAAAGAGUAGCUAAGAGCUAAUGAUGCGACACAGGCUAUAAGCACUGUAGGAGUUCAGACAGGAUUGCUGCUCCAGUCUCUACUCAAAUUGUAUAGACCAAAAUUGCAAACGCGUAGCUGGCAGGCUGAAAAUCUGGCUUUUCUGGCUUCAACCUUAAAUUUGUUUUUCUAAAAAAGACAGGCAUGGUGGUGCUCACCUGUAGUCCCAGCUACUCAGGAGACUGAAGCAGAAGGAUCAUUUGAGCCCAGGAGUUCAAGUCUGGCCUAGGCAACAUAGCAAGACCCCCAUCUCAAAAAAAUAAUUGUAGAAAAAAAUAUUUUUUUAAUAUAGCAAAGAUUUCAUAUAAAAAAAUCUAGAUUUCAAACUUCUCUUUUAAAAAUAUCAAAGUCAGGCAACAUUGGGCAUAUGUAAUAGUCAGGAUAAGCUAGGUUUUGCUGCAGUAACAAAUAUCCCCCCAAACUCAUUGGCUUAACAAAAGAAAGGCUACUUCCCACUCACACAAGACAACUGUGGAUUGAGGUGAUUCUCCAGGGCAGCUGUCUUAUAGAUGAUGCCUCAGUAUUUAUACCUUCAUAUCAACAAGUGCAUUUACAGCCACCAUGGCAGAGAAAAAGAAGUAGAGAGGGCCGAACACUAGCAGUGAAAUCUUUCCUCCUGAAGUGACAUACAUCACUUUAGCUUACGUUUCAUUGGCCAAAGCAAGUCACAUGGCCAUCCUUAAUUUCAAAGAUGCAAGGAAUCUCAGUCCUCCCAUGGACCAUGGAGGAGAAAGGAACCAGAAAAUAGCAAACAAUUAAUAUCUGCCACGGCACGCGCUUCCUUAUGGCAACAAUAGGCUGGAGCCCAUUAGAAGCUGCCCCUUGAAAUGGGACUUAAACACCCAGUUUGACAGUCUCCACCCAGCCUGCCUAGCCCUUGGGGGCAUUUGAUUUUGCAAGUCCUGGUAAAGAUAAAGCCAAUCUCAAUAUCAGUCUUUCAGAUGUCCCUGGUGAUCCGUGGAGUUAUCACACAGUUUUCAAAAACAAAUGUUUUGCUCUGCUUGAGACAAAAACUUAUGACAUGCAGAAUUCUUACAAUGAAAAGCAGGAUGGUAUCAUGAAAUCAAACAUGAAGUUGAAACUAGCUGUUAUUGUAGUCUGCAAAUUACAUAAACCUGUUUAUGGUGAUUUCUUCCUGUUGCUCUUCCCUCCAUCAAUCAAACACCCACCAGGAGAAACAAGCCUCCCAAGCUCUUCCCUGGAGUGGUAGUGACUUGGGAAGGGGGGCGGGGGGAUGUCUAAUUUAACAUUUUGAAGCAUUUAUAUAUAUAUAUGAAUAUACAUAUAUAUAGAUGUGUGUGUCUAUAUAAAUAUUCAAGGCUAAAAUAUUUGAGAAGAAAACUUGUGAGCUAGGAAUGGGAAGGCUUCUCUUCCAAUGACCACCAAUGAGAAUGUUAUAAAAUAUGUCUAAAGGUUUAAGAAUAAAUCAGCAUCCAUACAAAUGCAGCCAUCUCUUGGAAAAGCCUAGUGUCUUCUCUUUAAUCUCCUAACACAAUAAAGUUUUUGGAGGA